AUUGAACGCUGGCGGCAGGCCUAACACAUGCAAGUCGAGCGGAUGAAGGGAGCUUGCUCCUGGAUUCAGCGGCGGACGGGUGAGUAAUGCCUAGGAAUCUGCCUGGUAGUGGGGGAUAACGUCCGGAAACGGGCGCUAAUACCGCAUACGUCCUGAGGGAGAAAGUGGGGGAUCUUCGGACCUCACGCUAUCAGAUGAGCCUAGGUCGGAUUAGCUAGUUGGUGGGGUAAAGGCCUACCAAGGCGACGAUCCGUAACUGGUCUGAGAGGAUGAUCAGCCAGAAGUGAAUGGAGACACGGGCAGGAGUCAGAAGGGAGGAGGAUGAGAAGUAGACGGGACCCGGGGCGAGAGAGUGAUGCAGCCGUGGGGAGGGUGUGAAAAAGGUUGUAGGAUGUGAAGGUAAGUGAAGAGGGGAGGAUGGGAAGUAAGUUAUUUGCUUGCUGUUUUGACGUUACAAAAAGAAUAAGCAACGGAUAACUCCGUGCCAGCGGCGGCGGUAUGAGUAGGAAGCCACACUUUCGAAC
This 524-nucleotide ribosomal RNA is filed under the name uncultured bacterium. RNAcentral describes it as "partial 16S ribosomal RNA". It matches the Rfam family "Bacterial small subunit ribosomal RNA", at positions 37 to 537 of the family's 1533-position model. The record is from RNAcentral.